This 365-nucleotide unclassified non-coding RNA is filed under the name soil metagenome. RNAcentral describes it as "partial contains 5.8S ribosomal RNA, internal transcribed spacer 2, and large subunit ribosomal RNA". The stretch from base 1 to 120 matches the Rfam family "5.8S ribosomal RNA", at positions 35 to 154 of the family's 154-position model. The record is from RNAcentral.
GAUGAAGAAGGUAGCGAAAUGCGAUAAGUAAUGUGAAUUGCAGAAUUCAGUGAAUCAUCGAAUCUUUGAACGCACAUUGCACUCAUUAGUAUUCUAGUGAGUAUGCCUGUUCGAGCGUCAUUUCAACCCUUAAGCCUAGCUUAGUGUUGGGACUCUACCCUAACCGGUAGUUCCCCAAAAUCAGUUGGCGGAGUUCAGUCGGCUCUGAGUGUAGUAAUUUUCUCUCGCUUUAGAAGUCUUCUGGAUUACGGCCAGAAAGAGACGAGUCUCGCAUCUCGGUGCGUUUCUCAACUUUUUUUUACAAUGGUUGACCUCGGAUCAGGUAGGAAUACCCGCUGAACUUAAGCAUAUCAAUAAGCGGAGGA